GCCAUGUAUUGAAAGACAAAAACGUUGUUGUCUCCCUUCCCUGAAAUGGGAAAUCUUUUGGUUUAUUCUGGUUUACAGAUGAGCCUGGAGCAAACCUCCUGAUCAGAGGAGUCCCACGGAUCAGCCUGGGAAGUUGCAGCAGGGCAGAGAUCAAUCCACCUAGGGGGGCAGGUCUGCACUAGCCAAUGCUGUUUGCUUAAUUUAAUUAGACUUCUGGCUAAGUGAAAGUGAAUUUCAGCCCCGGAAAAAAGGAAAAGGAAUGUUAUGGCAAAGGAAGGAGCACUCAUUUCCCCUCCAGGAAUACCAGGUCUGAUUCCCACCCCAACUCCUAAACGUGGUGUCAGGAAUUAAUGGAAGGAUUCAGCAGGAGGCAAAGAAGCCAGAGGAAGCAAAAGUCCCCCAGCCCUGGGACAGAGUGGUGGAUUCCCAGGGACUUCCCACAGGACUGAGGGGGAACAAAAGCAGCCAGGGACCAGCAAAGCUGCUCAGGGGGACAACACAGGACAGCAGAGGACACAGUGGGGAUGCUGAGCCUCAUCCUGCUGCUGGCUUCACUCAGAGCUGUGCCUGUGGCUCUGCACCUCCCUGGCUCACUGGGACCUGCUCUCCAUCAUCUCCAUCAGCCCACGGUAACAGCAAGGAAUGCCUGCUCAGAAGUGCUUCACUUUACACCCCAAGCCCUUGCAGAGCAGGGUGCACACCAUGAGGCUUCCAAUUCUGCCUGCAGUAAAACUCUGCAGCCUGGAGAGCAGCAGUUUGCAGCAAAUAUCCCCAAAAGAUGCAGCUGGGAUCAUGGAGCCCCUGGAAGACUGAUGAGAUGUAAAGCACUACCCUCAGCCCAUAUAAAUCACACUGGUUUAGUGCCUGUCCUGUUUAAAGCCUCUCUUUUCUCAUACCUGUGGCAGAUUUCCAUUCUUUGUUAGCUGGUACAUGAAAGGCUGUGUCAAAGUGGCUGCUCUUGGUGGCAAGAGAAACACAGGGACUCGCCGGUGGGGAAUGCAGCAAGCCUCAACUCAUUUGUUAGCUUGUCCAAUUACUUUUCACCUUGAGUUUUGUGUUUGCACAAGUGAAAAGGACCCUGAAGAGGGGACAGUAAAACCAUAAAGAAGAAGCAAAAUACCCUGGGCUUUCCUCUCUUCUCCUCCACAAACCCAGGCCACCUUGUCAUUCAUUCUUCUUGAGUCACUGAACUAUGAUCCAGAAAGGACCAUAAUGCAGAGCUGGCACAUAACAAGAAAUAUCAAUCCAGACUGGCUUAAACUCUUGCAAGUAUGACAGUGCUCAAAAAAUAGACACCUGAAUUGCCUUCCUGUUUUCCUCAGCAAGCCUUAUGAAUUUUUUAUGAGCUGCAAAACUUCCAGUGCCGGUGUGAAACACUGAUGUAUUUCUAAUAGGGACUAAAACAUUCUCCUCUCCCAUACCUCCGACCCUGUGUGUGUGUAUAUAUAUAUAUAUAUAUAUAUAUCCCUUAUUUGUAAGGUCUGGUUUGUCUUUUUUUUUUUUUUUAACUUAACUAAUAGUAUUCCUCCUUACUGGUGGAACUUGGCCUGGAUGAAUUUCUGCUGCAAUAUUUCUGUGUAGGGCUUUCAGAUAAGCAGCAAAGAGCUGAGGCCGUGACAAUCUGUAACCCAGAGGCUUCCAGCAUUGUGGGAUUUUUCCAGGUUUCACAACACUGACCUUCUGACAGUGUAAAGUGGCACAGAGCCAGUGCAAAUGUUCUAGGUCUGCUGGUCAGACCGUUUGAUGACCACACAGGUGAUAAAACAACAACACUUUAAAAUACUCAACUGCACAGACCACCACUGGAAGAUUUGGGACCACCAGUGCCCCAACAUGCAGCUCAGCUUUUCCUGCUUUUCCACAGUGACAAGUCACUCUAAAGAGCUCUUCCUGCUCAGGGACAUUGGCCAGCACCAAAAGAACUGCCCAGAUAGUUAAUAUUUUCCAAACUAUUGUGAAAAUACAAAUAGGAACUUGGCAUGCCGUGAUGCCAUGGACUGUGGGGAGUCACUGGGGACACAAGAAGGAGUGCAAUGUACUCAGAGGAGAGGGAAAGGGGGGGAAAUCGUUUAUACUAAUGAAACAAAGUCUAUUAUUACACCAGUAGUAAAACAACAACAGGAGCAGCCUGCAAUUUCCUCAGUAAUAAUCUCACUCCCUCCAUGGAAUAACAACCCUGCCUUUGGCUUGGUAAUUUAUCCACCAGGGUACCAGCCCACCAUGACAGAGCAACCUCCUCAUUACCCCUGAAUGAAAGCAAGUGCCCCCACUUUAUUAAUGAGCUGCCAGACCCCCCAGCCUUGGGAGAUGGGGGGAUCAGCCAGCAGCUGCUGGUAACAAUGCACAGCCUGAAAGGGAGGCAGCCAGAGAAAACAUAGGGCCCAGCUGCCAACGUGGGGGGAAAGGGAUGAGAGGGUCAAAACCUGCAGCCUUUCACUCUUUGUAAUGCCAGAAGAGGCUUGGGUUGCUCAUGGCUUUAAGUGUUUGUGUCAGCAGGGUGUGGAGAGCUGCUGCUCACCCUCGGUCCCUGAGCCCUGCUCCUGCCUGCUCCAGAUCACUGGAGAAUAACUGGGGGUACCUGCUAAUCGUGAUGCCUCAUCAUUAUUAGUCUCAGCUGCUUGGUUCAGAUGGUUUGGUUUUCACCUGCAUGCUGAGGAGCCCACAGACCCUUCCUCAGGCAGUGCUGCUGGGGACAGGAUGGCCCCACACUGGGGACAAGUGGCAGUGAGCACAUGCCCCAGGUGACAACCACAGUCUCAAAUAUUCCUCUGCCAGACCUGACAGAGCAGCUUCCAAAGACCUGUCCACACCUAAAUCACCCUGAUGCCUUCUACUACAUUGCAAAUAAUCCAUUUUAAAUAAGGAGGCUGAAAUCCAGCUCAUGGCACAGCAGCUCCAACAGCUAACCUGGCCCCAGAGAUGCUUCAUUUGCUUCCUCACAGGUGAGGAGAACAGUCAGUUCAUUUAAGGGGUAAUGGCUGCAGCUCCAGCACAAUCCCUGUGAGAUGAUUCAUAAACCAAGCAUGGGAGAAAUUGUCUGGACACACAUUAUUGAGUCAUCAGACUGGUCAGUGCUGUGGUGCCUGGGCAGGCCUGGCACUGUACUCACUGGGAAGGUGGUGAGGGCAAUGAUCCACUGCAGCAAUCCUCCCUCCCUCCCCUGCACCCAGCAGGCGAGCCUUAGGAGCACAGGGACCCUGACCUCCCACCUGAAACUGGCCACAGCAGCAACCUGAUGUUAAAAAAAAAAAAAAAUAGAAGAAGAAAAACAAAGCAGACAAGGUCCAAGCUUCAGAAAGACAAAGUGUUCUCUUCCUUAUCCACCAGUCUUAUCUGAUCAGUGCUCUGGCACUUCAAUUUCCAGACUACCCAGUUCAGAUGCUGCUCCUGCAGGAGGUGCAGGAGGAGCCACAGGCCAACAGCUCCCAAACUGGGGCUGUGGCCAAGGUCCUUUCUGUCCCUUUCAGUUUAGGCAAUAAAUAACCUCCCCUGCAAAGGGACAGCACUCAGGGGUUCCCCCAGCUGCAGGUUUGGAUCUCACCAUGCAGCAGAUCACAGCUCACCUUCACAAGGUCAUGGCAUCACAGUGUUUGAGUUUCUCCUGGAUUUCUUUAGCUGCCCUUUUGCCUUGGCAGGACCUCUGGCUGUGAUCUCUUCCAUCACUGGAAGCCCAGCUGCAGGGCAGGAGCUCCCUGUGUGGCAAUGUGGAAACCCAGGGCACUGGGAAUAUUUCUGUGUCUGCUCUGGGGUGCCCUGACCCCCAGGGCAGCACUGACUCUGACCCUCAUUCAUGGAGAAAGCUUCCCAGACUUCAAGAUAGACUGGAACCCACAAAAGUGUGAAAUAGAUUAUAGAGAGCAGUGUAGGUGUGUCACCUGGUGAGAAAUUGAGGGUUUGGGGUUUUUAGUGUGUUGUGGAUGGAAUCAAGAUGGAGGGCACAGGGUGUGGUCCUGGGUUUCUUCUUCAUGCUUCUUCUUCCUCCUUCUCCAUGGGUUUGGGUGGCAUUUUGUAAUUGGGCAGAAAAGUCCCCAUUGCAGCUCUUUGGGAUCAGUUACUGGGUUAAAAGGGGAAAUAAUCCAGGUGUCAGCUCUUAAUUGGAUAGUUUAGUCUUAAAAGCCCUUGUACCAAGAGACUUGGCCAUUUUGUGCCUUCUAAUGAAAAGCUGCCCAACUCACAGCAGUGAGACUGUUUUACUGAUGAGAAAAAAUAAACACCUGUGUCUGAACAUGAA
Haemorhous mexicanus (house finch) is the source of this 4231-nucleotide long non-coding RNA. RefSeq lists it as uncharacterized. Lineage: Eukaryota; Metazoa; Chordata; Aves; Passeriformes; Fringillidae. The record is from RefSeq and is a predicted model, not a curated record. The transcript has 3 exons.